CGAUGCAUAAACAAAAUGACAGUAUACACUUAUUGCCUGCAAUGGAUGUGAAUAUUCAAAAUUUGUAACCCGAUUAAUGUUAUUUCACGAGAGCUUCAGCUCGAGUUGAAUAGUCCUUUCUCGUAUUGACAAUUUUUGAUAUUCACAGAAGCAAUGGGCGAUAACAUUUGUAUCAUACCAAUCCAACAGUUUAGAGUAAACUAUAACAUUACAAGAGUUGAAAAGAUUGUCAACACAUUAAAGUUGGAAAAUUAUUUUGUGUCUUAAACCUUCUAGAAUGUACAAAGAAAGGUCAAUUCGUUCUGUAAAAUAUUGAGUACCCUGAAAGUGAAAAAAGAGCCGUUUUUGAGAGAUAUCCUUGAAACUAGAUAAUUUUCGAUACCUUGUUUGGUCUGGUUUUCUCGUUACUUGAUUGGCAUCUUACCUUGUGAUUGCAAUUUUGUUUACAGUCGCAAGUGACGUAGUUUUGUUUGGGAGACAACUCUUGUAAAAAUCACAAGACUGAAAAGGUUAUUCACAAAGAAAUAAUAGGUUUGUUCGAUAAAGGCAUUAAUUUGUCGGGGUUAUUCGUCGCUCUUGUCAAUUUGUGAAAAACACCGAAAUUAGACUAUGGCAAGUGAUUCCGUAUUAGCCAAUCAAAUAACUUAUAUAAAACAUAAGGUAUAAUAAUAUGUAUAAUAAUAUGUACACAUACAUGUAGUUGGAAUGUGUCAAUCGAUAAUCAAUUUUAGGUAUUAAUUCCGUCAAAAAUUG
Molecule: long non-coding RNA, 753 nt
Filed under: Mytilus galloprovincialis (Mediterranean mussel)
Lineage: Eukaryota; Metazoa; Mollusca; Bivalvia; Mytilida; Mytilidae
Source: RNAcentral